AUCAUUUCCUCGUGGAAAUGCAAUCAGACCGAGACGCUAAGGCAGAAGAACUACUGUGUCUACAGUGCAAAUUAAAUAAUAUGGUCUCCGUACAAACAAGUGGCUGCUGGAACAGAGUAGGUGAGUUGUGUUUAGUCUCUUUGCUAAAGAAAUGAGUCAAAGUUAAAAAGAUGUUUGGUGGCUAGUGCUAUGUCUGUGACCCUAUAUGUCCUGUUGAUGAAGUUAGGUGCUGUUCUGAGCAUUAUUUGUGACUAUAGAGUGGCGUUUUGGUUGAGCACGUGCCUCUCUGUAUUGCUAUCCUGCGGUCGUUAAUAAAGUUGGAAUAACUAGAGAAGCAAGAGGUCGGCAACAUUCAUCUCUCGACGGGGUGUCUAACUCGGUGUUACAGUGUGUUUGACCCUGACUUCAUUUCACGCCUGAAUAUCCCUUUAAUGUAACUCUGUAUGCAUCCAUUCAUUCCCUUCCACUUAUUUGAUAUUGGGUUGAGGCUGCAGUAUGUUACGCAAGGGGACCCUGACAUCCCCUUCCUAUCUACAUUUUCCAGCUUCUCUUUGGUUAUUCCACGGUCUUACCGCCCCAGAUGGACUGUCUUACCUCUCAGCAAGUUUUGGGUCUACCUUCAGGUCUCCUUCCAGUCCCAUGUCUCUGAAAAACCUCUCUGAGGAAGCAUUUGCGUAUUACUGGGCUCCAGGAUAUAUUCAAAAUAGCUGUUUUCGUACCCUUGAAUGACCAUAUCAGAACAGUGAGUCUGGUUGCAUAUGGUUCAGUUAGCUUUUUUAGCAGUAUCUAUUACAUAACUAGAUAAGAGCCUCUCACAGUAGCUUUAACAACAGGACUCUUCAACCUACUUCUGUGGCCAUUGUCUUUUUUUUUUUUAGCAACUUUUGAAGAGUGUUACUUUAAUGAGCUUUGUUUGUGUUUGUUUCUAAUAUUUCUGCUCGUUAAACAGCACCAACAAAGUGGAGAUCCAGCUUUCAAACUGGGACGAGGGUUUGCUCUACUUCUUGUUUCCAAUUAUAAAUAAUGUUGGGUUUUGAGCAAACAUGUUUCCACAUGCAUUGAGGUUUCUUUUGUCAGUUUUUGCUCUUCUCUAUCAUCCUGUCACAGUUAAAGGAUGACUCAGCUAACUGCCAGAUGUGAGGACGGCACUGUCCCUCUUUUGUUCCUCCCGAAGAAGACCUCUGCAUUCGUAGCCUCAUUAUACGUCUUAAUGACUCCACUGCAGCUAUCUCUGCGAAGGCGUGCUAAAGGUCAGAUCAGCAUCUUAAUGCGCCGUCCUCCUGCCUUCUGACCCACGUGCAAACCUCGGUCACUCAGAUCAGACAUGUUCGGUAGCCUGUAGAACAUAUCAGUCGAUCCUAAUGAAAUCACAGAUCCUUUGAUUCAACUUUGACAUUUAGUUUGAGCACCCGUUGCAAAGAUCACUACUGGCAAAUGAGCUUCUCAUCUUCAAGCUUUGUCAUGUUCCUGGUGUGAAUGCUGCAGUCGUCAUGCAGAUUUAAAGAAGUCUAGAUGGAGAGACAGAGUUUGACAGAAUUCGUAGGUCUUCUUGGACUGAAAGGGUCUCAGACUGAAAUCUUCCGGUGUUUCUUGCCUUUAAAAGUUCCCCACAGUAUCGAUAAAUUCUUAGACGCUAUAUGAAAUGAAAAUGGAAAUGAAAUGCAAAGCCACUCAAGGUUUCAGCAGGUUUUCAUCAGCUGGCAUCAGGUCAGAUGGCUGUAUUAGAUCUGCGCUCUACCAAAUGGGGUUCUGACUGGAUCAUUGCUCGCUCCCUUUGGUCUCUAAUGGAUGAAUUACAUUGCUUUCAUGACUUCCAGAUCUAUUUCUCUGAGUCUCUCUGAGAAUAAUUGGUGGAGUUCUGAACUUUCCGGGUGUUUACAUAAAAAGCUUUUGUAUUAUUUAUAAUCGGAGGCUAAAUCACACAGGCAUGCACACACACAGUUUAGUAGUUGAAUUACUCUCUGUCGGCUUGUCGCCCAGCCGGGGUUUCAGACUCAGUAAAAUAAGGAAUGGAGCUUCCUUUCCUUACCUCAGAGCCUCGCUGCCACUCCAGCACAGUAAUUACCUCGUCCUUCUUUACUGCUAAUGAGAAGGUAAAAUAUGAGCUUCUGGCAACUGCAGUCAUUUGCGACCCUGGCUCGCUCCUGGCAGGAGUGGAGAGGGAGAAGGAGAGAGACUAAUUUCUACCCAGAAGCCACCUCUGAAUGGUGCCAUCCAUCCUUAACCCACCUGUACAAGUUAUCCAGGGUUACCCCAGGUCUGUGUCUGGAUAAUGUUACACUGAGUUGGAUGAGCAGUUUGCUGGAGUGAGCACUUUCUUGGGUAAAUGAAAACAGUCAGACUCUUGAUACUUCCCGACAAACUAUAGCCUCUUAGAAAAGAUCAUAGAGUGGGUGUUCUGGGUUAGGUUUUCAUUACUGUAGUACUGUGAUAUAGAAAGUACUAGUGUUACAUCAAUCACUGCCUUUUGAACCUGUCUGCUAAGGCUUGCAGUUUGGUGUCAUGGUGUUUGGGACUGGUGAUUCGUUUUAGACACUGUACACUCUAAAAACUCUUGGGUUAUUUCUUCAACCCAAUUCCUGGGUUAUAUGUGUUGAGUUAAAUUUCUUGGUUAUUUUUCAGAUCCAUACCCAUUUCGCGGGUCAUAUGGAUUCUAUCGUAACCCAAUUUGAGCGUUUUUUAAAUGGGUUAAUAAUUAUGGGUUAUUUUUCUGAAAGUAACCCAAUGAUUGGGUCAGAACGCUGGGUUCAAUGGACUCUACGUGGUUCCUAGGCCUAAUGGCAAUUAAAGUGACCUUGUGAAAUUUGACCUUGAUUUGGGGUUGGAAUCCCUCAUGAGACACAUCUGUAAGGAGCAAACUACAUCCACCAGUUUGGGUCCUUAGGUAAGACCCUUAACGCUAUGGCCUACAACCAGAUAGAUAAAAGUACAUGGGAAAAUAUGGUACAGGUUGUAAAAGCUAAGCUCCCCAAAUGCAUCUAUCAAUCUAUCCCAAGAUCAUGAGUCAAAUUAACUUAAACAUUUAAACAUUGGGUUAACUUGACUCUUAAAAAGGGUUAUUGAGUCAACCCAAAAUUUGGGUUAAUUUGAUUAACCCAACAUUCUGGGUCAAAAUAACCCAACAAGUAGUUGGUCCUUUUUCAACCCUGGUGUUAACCCAGGGGUUUUUAGAGUGUAACAUCAACUAUAAGCUUUUGAACCCACUUAAGAGUUUUUGAGUGUUGAUGGUGAUCACUUUGAGGUCAACCUUAAGUUUUUUUAAACCCUCCUCUCAAGAUAAGACAUUGGUUUUUUGGUGUUUUGUUGAUAGAGAUUGAGUUGUCAACAUUUUGCUUUUGAACCCUUAAAGCGUCUUUGGUGGUAUUUUGGGUGGUACUGUGGUAGAAGUCAGUUUUGCAUCAACCAGCUGUUAAACUGACCUGGAGUUUGGUAACUUAGACUCAACGUCUUUAGUCUGGUGGUAGCUAUCUCAAGGUCAAAUCUGAGCCUUUGAACUUUCUUCUUAAAACCUGGAGUAAAUGAGUUUAAUUUUGGUGAUUUAAGUUAGCUUUUGAACGCCCCAUUUGAAGUCUGUAGUUGGUGGUUUUUGAGAUGCUCCUAAAGUUUGCAUCAUUAGCUUUUAAAUGUGUUCAGGAGCUUGAUACUGGUUGGUUUUGGUGGUGUGUUUCAUUCGCUUCCUCCUCCUCUGCUUUUAAACCCAUCUUUUUUUGGGGGGUGAAAGCAACUCUAGCUUUGUUCUGGACUUUUGAGCCUCCCUUUUUGAAGCUUUAAGUUCGGCAUUGUUGCAUUUCAGAGGUAUUUUGGCGGUAACUUGUCAACGGCCAAUUAUUCACUUUUUAAACUUCCUGUUUCAAAGCUUGGUGUGCGUUCUUUUGGUGUUGUUACAGUGGUAGCAGCAUUGAUCUGAACCCUUUAAUUAUAGCUGUAUGACUGGCUUUUUUGGCAUCAACCAUUAGCUUUUGAAUCUCAUAUUUAAAGCUCAGUGUUUGGUAGUUCUGUGGUUGUGUUUAGAACCAUAGUUGGCCAUUUCUGAUCCCUGAUUAUUGUUUUAUUUCAGAUUACAGGCCACCCGAGUUCCAAUUUGCUAAUUAAAACUGUAUACAAACACCAAGCUUGUUAUUUUACUGUAAAUUGUACCAUUUAUUACAAAGUGACAAUAAUCCUGCUUUGUCAGAACAAAUCUUGAUUGAUUUUUUUCAAUAGUUGGGAAAUUAGAACCAUUUUCUGGUCUGGUUUAGACAAUUUUGUCUUCCUUUCUGCUGGCUGUUAUAAAUAAUGCAGAUUUGAAGCACUUGUGUGUGGUCCUCAGUUUGAAAAACAGAGGUGAUAUGCUGAGUUAUGAUUUCAAAGUGAACUUUAACUCUUCUUUAGUGACUCACAACAUUAGGAUCCCUCUCAUGACCUUCUUCUGUGAUCUUUCCUUCACUUCCAUGCCCACAUGCUAACACAAAAAAGUCAGACUCUUUUAAGGGUGUAAUAAAACUCAGCGUGAUUUAAGAGCUAUGCUAGAUGACCCCAAUGUGUGAAUUUGACAGAAAUGUGAUCUCUCAAAGGCACCUUUCACCUCCUAUCAGCAACAAAACAUGAACAUUCAAACACCAUCAAAAUGAAAUGCACGCUUUAUGGGCCUGUAAGACUCUUUAUUCACCAGGCGAUCUAUAUUUCCAUGUCAUCGCCGCUCUCCUCUAUUCCAUUAUCAUUUUUUAUCUGAUAGGAAACAAAUCAAGGGUUUCCCAGUGUCAGGAACAAAAGCCAUUUUUGUGUUGAAGGUUAUAGAAAAGCAUCGUCACGUAAGGGAAAUGAUUAUAUUGGUGCCCUUCGGAUAGACUCCAAUGUCACACAUGAGGAGACAAAGAAUUUCAUCACACAGGCUGAGCUUUUUUGCUUUUUUUUUUUGACAGCAAUCAGAUCCAUUUUAUUCUCUUUGUGGGGCUUCGUAUUUGCUAUAAAAUCUUAGAGAUUGACUCCAAAACCUUACCACAGGGGUGAAAAAAUCCUAUUAGAUUGAAAACAGCAAGAGACGUAAAAAAAAAAAGAGAAAAAAAUCGUAUUAGCAAUAAUAACAGAUUGCAGAAUUCACUGCGUCUGGGAUGACUAUUUUAGUGAAAAUGAUACAGCCAGGGUAUGAGAAAUUAAACCCAUUUCAGAGGGUGGUGUCAAUGCUGAUGUUUACUGGUUUUACAGACACUUCCAUUAGAAAACCAUUAGCAAGGCGAUUACUAUGAUUAACUCAAAAUUGACCCACUGCGUCCAUUCACUAAUCCCACUGACCAUAAUGCAAUGCAGUUACCAUAUGACUCGUUUCGGAGCAUUUAAGUGGAUGAACUUUGCACCCCGGUCCUGCUGGAGUUAUCGGGGGGGAUUAACUGGGGUUAGAAACCAAAGAUUGGAAGAUGUACCAUGUCAAUACGAUGUUAUUGCAAUAAAACUGAUUGGCCUGACCUCUGCGCUUCGACAAGAGGAGCUUCGUUCAGCCGGGGCAAUUACAGCCAGAUAACAGGCGGCUGAAUGAAAAUGUUACAGGAGCUCUCUCAGCUGUUAUCAGUCUUAAUUUAGGCAGACUUUUGGGUCAUGGUUCACCUUUAAGAGGUCAAGAAAUCAAAAUCUAUUAAUUCUACACAAUAAUAAUAAUAAUAAUGUAGAAAAUUUUGUAAAAUAUUACCUGAUUUCAACUGAUUACAAGCAAACCCAAUUGUGUUGCUAUAAAUCUCUAAGUUCUGUAAAACUGAUUUUUUUUUUUUUUUUCUUGUCUGCACAAGAUAAAAUCUUGAAAUUAUUUGUCUCGGUGCAAAGAUUCAGCAAUAACAUCGAAAACAGUAUUUGCUCAAAUAAAACUAGAAAAUUCUUGUGAUAAAUGGCGUCAAAUUGAAAACGGAUGGCCAACAAGAUAACUAUCUUGUGAACACAGGAUGAUAAUUUGUUUUGCACAGUAGUUAGACUUGCAUUUGAGCUGAUAAUCUCCUCCCAUUGAAUAAUUUUCUUAUCUGCAAUAGAUGUUUUUACCUUAAUAAUGUUAUCUUGCAAAAUUGCAUUCAAAAUCAUCCAACAUGAUGAUUGUCUUGUGUGAACAAGCUAACUUGUUCCAUUUACGUAUCCAUCUUUUCUACAUAAUACGAUGACUUUUCCCACAAGUUAUUCCGUGAUCCAACUGAUCUGUGCUCACAAGAUAAAAAAUAGUCUUUAUGUGAUCAUUUUCUUUUGUGCACAGGAUAACUUAUGGUGGGUUCCAGUUACCUCUGUCGUUGGAUGUCAGGGAACGGGAAUGGGAAUGACGCUGCACCCGAGUUGACGGCGUUCCAGUUAACAAGUGGGUAAACCAAGAUGGAUGCAAACAGUUAGCGGUUGUUAGCUGUUGGUUACAAUUGUCAGCUGUUGUUGGCUGAUGUCAGUUGUUAUUGAUACCAGUUGUAAACAACGCAUAACACAGUAUUUUACUCUUACAAACACCAUAUCAAUCAUAUGGGCAGUACAACAUAAACCACGUAUUCAAUUUCCCAAAAACAAAACAAAAGUGCUAAUAAAUAAUACAUUAUGAGAGCUUUUACUGUUACUCUUUGCUGUUGAUGCACUGUGCUGCCAUCUUGAAUUAUGACGUUGUCGUCAAGUCAGGGUUGGUGAGGAUUGUCCAACUUUCUGAAUUGGAAAUCCGACUUCAAGGGGACAUUCCAGAUGAAUUUCCAACUCGGAGCUCGGAAAUCCCAAUGAGUACAACUGGAACGCAAGGUUAUUCCUGAAGAUAGUUCUGAUGUGUGCCCAAGAUGAUAACCUGUUCCAACAAGACAACGAUCUUUGAUAUUGGCAUUUCAGUAUUCUACUUUAGCCUAGAGGCACCAGAGGAAUCCAUCAUGUUUUCUGGUGGUUGAAUUUAGCAUCAGUUUCCAGCUAGUAUCAUGCAACAUUGUUUGCUAAUGUUUGUCAAAGUCUUACAGUGACAAAUUUCUGAACAUUUGUUAUAAAUUCUGCAGCUUAAUUUCUUUAUUUGUAGGAUUUUGAGAUUGUAUUUGACAUGUUUCCAGUAGGUCUGGAUGAAGUGGUGAAUGUUUUCCUCACAACAGCUGUUCCAUGAGGAGAUUUUUGGGGAUUAUGUUGUUAAUGCCACAACAGACACCAUAUAAAUCCUCAGAAACACACUUGAUGUUGAAACUGGUAAAUGUACAGCAUUAAUGCAUUUUUACACUUAAUACAGCAGCAAAAAGCCACCAACUCAGCCCUGUUCGAUUCCUCCCACUUUACCUCAGUAUUGCUUAUAACUUUAACUCCAAAUGCAGAUUUCUUGAGUCAAUUAGAGAAACACUAAAGGAUAAAAGGCUACAACUCAGAGAGGCACUUGCACUUAAUUGAUCGUUGUCUGAACAAUGCCAACGCACAGUGAUGUACAAGCUUCUGUUUAAUUACAAGCAUUGUGGAGGCGGGAUUGUAUCAGAGUUCAUGGAGAUUUACUUAAUUUAAAAGGACAUGGCACAUAGAAGCUUGUCUGGGAGAGAAACAAGAUGUGAAAAUCUGCAAAUACCUGGAGAAAACGACCAAGUGACCUGGCAACACUAAUUCUAAAGAUUCUGAGAAUGUGUCCAAGUCAGGCGAGACAAGCACAGUUAAAACGCCAGCAAACAAUUUGGUAGAAGUUUUGGCGCUGUGGGCAGGUGCAAAGUUCUGUUGAUAAAGGAAACAAGCAUCUCUGUGAAGCUUGGCUGCAAUUUGCAUUUCUGUACCACAUCCUGCAGUGAGUCCAACCAUGGAGCCAGCUUUUUACCACUUUCGAACUUCAGCCGUUGCCUUGGGUGGGAUGUAUACAAGUAUUGGUAUAAUAUGACAUGUAUGUCUUUUAACGUAAAUUCUUACAUGCAAAUGGGAUCUGGUUCCACUCUGAGCCAAGCCGAUGACAAAUCAUCACCAUGGACGACCAAUUACUUGUUUAAAAGGGUGCCUCUACAAGACUGUAUUGAAAACAGCAUAUUGUUAGGUAGGCGGGGAACACUUUGAAAUGCUUUAAGUGCAUAUAGGUUUUCAAAAGCAGAGGAAAAUAAGGUUUCAGCUCUUUAUAGCAAAGUGGCUUUUUCAUGCAACUGGAAUAAUAGCUUGGUCAAACAGAGGUGGCGUUCUGGUUCAGCCUAAAAGACAUCCUCAGGCUGCAUCUUGAGGGACUAAAACUUCAGGUUCAGGUGCGCUAAAGCUGGAAAAGAGUUAUAUCUGUUCUGAAAGGCCAGGUGAGAAGGUGGGGUUAAAAGUCCAGAACUGAAUAAAGAGCAGCGAUAGAUUUUAAUUCAAGUUUGCAGUCUCUGAGAUCCAGUCAAUUCCUGCAUGAAGUGGGAGCAAAUGUCACUCCGUUGGCUUUGAUUACUGUGCGACAUUUAAAAAGUUAGAAAACACCGUCCUGUUUUGACCAAGCCUCGUUCAGACCAUUACAGGCCGGGAAUGUUUCUUCAUCUGUUGAUUCCAAGCCUGAAGGUCAUGACCAGGACAAGAAAUGUAAAUCUGGUGGUCGUUUAUUGGUAGAAUACAGUAAAAUAGGGCAAAGCUUCACCAAAAUGCUUGAUGAGUGGAUUAAACCGUUCAACCGACCCUUCAGCAAUCAACCAGAGCGCAAAUAUUCAAUAAUUCUGUUGCUUUUUCCUCAAAUCAUGAUUCAGCACAGCACCAUAAGUUUGCACAUCUUGACACUGUACUUAAUCCUCAAUUAAAAUGUAUCAUCAUUCCAGUAUACAUCCGAAUGCAAGAAAGAAAGAAAUUGUUUAGCCCUGGAACAACCCCAGCCUGAUGAAACCUCGGCGCUCCAAAGCAAAGCAGAUCAGAAAAUGACAUCUCCCUAUUCAGAUUGACUGAUUCCUGCCGAGGCUUGCGCGCAGAAAGCGCACGCUCCGGGCUGCUCAUACAGAAGGCUAACCACACGUAGAUAAGGCCGAACCCGACUGGUGACACGCCUGGCUUGGAAAAGGGGAGGAAGAAAGCAAAUCACUCAGGACAAUCUAUUCCCUCCGCUGCCAGUCACUUCACUGCCGUCAAUUCAAUACCGGCUGCUCCAGAGCGACACAGUGGCCUCUGAAUACCAUUUCCAUAUCAUUAUUCCUACAUAAAUGGCAGACCGCUUGCUGUUUCAUCAACCUUUUGGACCACAUGCUGGUAAAUAAAUAAACAAAGUUCUCAGGUGUAUAUAUGGAAAGGGUGAGGAGAAGCUAAUGGGAUGGAGAGGCCCGCAAAUAGGGACCAGGAAGUGCUUUGUAGCUGUGGCUGGCUUUAUUGUCGGACGGGUUGACCCCCAGUUGAAUGAACAUUUGUCAUUGGGGAAGGGGGGGCGGUUUUCUCUUUGUAGGUUUGCGCAGGUGGACGGACUAAAUGGGUGCAAAAAUGCAAUUCUCUUGGGGGAAUGAGGGUCUUUUCAAGUCCAGGACUGGCAUGUUUGUCUUGUUUAUUAAAAGAUAAAUAUUAUAGAAAAUGAGUGUUUGUGCACUAAACAACCAUGAGUGGAACAGUUGCUGUGGUUACCAAUAAGACUUUUCUUGUUGGUCCAUGCCCAGAAUGAAAAAAUGCCCCAUCUAUAGCUCGUUGUACACUUCAGCUAUUGUACAAGCAGCUAUGUAAUCUACUAGGAAUAAACAACAACCUGAACCUGAACGACCUGGAAAUAUUUUGUUUUAUAAAUGUUCCGUUUUUUAGUAAAGUUAAAGCUCCUGUGUGGAACUUUCAGACAGAUGCCCCCUGUGGCCACUUUUGUCCUCUACCUCCUUAAAUUGCAUCUUGACAAAAAAAAAAAAAGAUCCAAAUUACUGGCUUCUAAAAGUCAAAUGUGAAUGUUUUAUGUGGGAUUUAUAAAUAAAUAAAUAAUAAAAAAAAAAAGGGGUUGCUCAACACCUGCCCCCUUACACCGCUUUCAGGUAUUAAAAAUUGUGACUUAAAUUUCGUCAGUCUUGUCACUGAUGGUGUUGUUUGCUUUCAUUUAUCAUAAAAAGGCAUUAUUUAGAAUUUUAGUCAAUUUCUCAAAUGUCAAAAACAAAAAAAAAACAAACAAACAAAAAAAAAAAAACAGGGCUCGGUCAACACCUGCCCCCUUUACACUAGUUUCAGGCAUUGAAAAUUAUGCCCCCUGUGGCCAAUCUUGUCCUCUGCAUCGUUAAAAUGGCAUCUUGACAAAAAAUAAAUAAAUUAACUGGCUUUUAAAAGUGAAAUGUGAAUGUUUUAUGUGGGAUUUAAAAAACAAAACAAAAACAAAAAAAUACAAUAAUAAUAAUAUUAAUAAUGAUAAUAAUAAUAAUAAUAAUAAUAAUAAUAAUAAUAAUAAUAAUAAAAAGGGCUUGGUCGACACCUGCCCCCCUUACACUGCUUUCAGGCAUUAAAAAUUCUGACUUAAAUUUCGUCGGUCUUGUCACUGUUGGUGUUACAGCUGUAGCUGUAAACCAAAAUAAAGGAAGUGUUCUUCAAUUGAGCUGUUUUCUGCUACAGUUAAAGCCCCAGUGCUGUUCUCAUUUCAAAAGGUCCUGAACCACUGGUUUAGACACGACCCAUCCCCCAGCUCUCCAAGCUUCCAGUGUGAGGCUUACUAACUAAUGGCCACAAGUUAACAUCUGUCCAUCAGGGAGAGUUUCCAGAGGAGUUAAAAACAGUCCUGGAUCUAUUACAGAUGAACUGCAGUGCCGACUGUAAUUAUAUCACAGUUCCAUUUGGCGUGUCUCUAAGCACGUCUUAUUAUUCUUGGUAUUAAAUAUUACAGUAUUUCUAUCAGAAGUUUGGACUGUGAUAAAGUUCCUGAGCCUUAAACACAAAGUUCACUUUCAAAAGUCUGCCCCUUAUCAAGACCAGCGUCUUUCUGCUGCAGCCGCCCUCCCGCUGUGAAGUUAAAAGCAUUCACAUUUCACCGCCACGCUGGUGUGACAGAUGCUUUUAUCAACCUAAAUGCUCUUUUCGGUGUCUUAACAUAUAAUUUGAGAAUAAACCGCCACUCUCGUCUGUCAUUCAUGGCGGACGCUUGUAACAACAUAGUCCCACAACUCGGCCCCUUUAAUUAGACCGGAGCCGGCGAAGAAGUCUGUGUGGGAGACGUUUUACAUGGAGGUUAUAUUUUUUUCUUUUUCAGCACAGCAAGACAUUAAGUUUUUUUUGAAUCACCCGAGUUGACCUGCCGCCUGCCAAAUUGAAUUUUUAAGUUCAAAAGCACAGGGGAAUUUGUACUCAUGGUGACUAAAGUUAAAAAAUGUAUCUUUUGUGCUUCACUCUUUUGGUGCUUCUGUGAUACAAAGGUUAGAGUUCUUGAGAUAAAAGUAGUAAAAAUCAAAGCUUUUAAUGCAUGUCUCAUUUGCUUUAAAAGUGUGACUUGACUUUGUUGCUUUUGCAGCUUGUUUAACAAGUAAAAAGUCAUAUGCGCUAUGUUUCAAACAUAAAUAAAUACUGACGUUCUUUGAGAUUAAGGGAUUUUAGACAUGCGAUUAAAAUUGCGAUUAAUCGCGAUUAAAUGUCGAAAUUAUGCGAUUAAUUGUGAUAAAAAAUGUCAAAUAUAAACAUCCUCAUCCUUUAAUGCAUGUCUCAUUUGCUAUAAAAUUGUGACUUGGCUCGGUUGCUUUGGCAGCUUGUUUAACAAGUUAGCACAAUGUGUCAAAUAUAAAUAAGAUUAACCAUGGUGGUUAAUCGCGAUUAACCAUCAAAAUUAUGCGAUUAAUUGUGAUAAAAAAUGUAAAAUAUGAACAUCCUCAAAUGAUUAUUUAGAUAUCUAGUUUAAACAUUUUUAUAUACAUUUACAAAAGCCAAAGAUUAAAGUAGUUUUCUCUAUCUAAUGCAGAGACAGGAAGCUGCUUUGACACUCUGCGGGAGCCGCUCACAGCACUCAUACAAACAGCCUCAUACAGAGAUGUGUUUGUCAGCGGCAGACCGUGAAAAGUUCAGCUGUUGUUGAUGUUUUUCUCCUGACAAACUUGUUGAUCGCUCGGUGUUUUCCAGGUACCUUCACCCUGAUUGAAGCUGCUUUCACUCCGGGGACAUGAUGUGAUGCAUGUGAACAUUUUGAGCCCAUUUAGGAACUUCAGCGUCAUUUACCAAUACAUAACCUAAUGUAGAUUAUUCUGAGCCAACGGAGCAGAUAAGUGAUCCGCCGGACUACAGGUUUCUGCGAGGUUAGAUUCAUCACACGACCAAACUGCAACACAGCAAUGUGCUUAGUCAGUAUUAAGGGUAGACGAUAGAUUGUGUUUGUGUAUUGGCAUGAUCUCCCUCUCCAUCAUCAUCUUUACUUUGCUUGUAAACACACACACACACAUACACAACUACACACAAACACCCCCUCAGUAACACUCCAUCCUGGCAGUCAUUAGAGUCCCAUGAGCUCUUUUGCUUGUAGCACCUCAGUCCCGUAGAUCUCUGCUGCCAAUAAUCGUUAUAAUUGAUGAUUUCCUUCUAAGCCUCUAAUGAUGUUUCUAGUAUUUAUGGUUACACAAAGCCAGGCGAGCUGAUUCAUAAUAGUUUCUUCCUGCCGCUUUAUUGGCAUGGCGUUUCUCACAUUCUCAUCACUAAAUUAAUUUUGACCUGGCGAUGCCGUAGAUCACUUUAAACCGCUGCGCGCCGUCUCACUGUGACCAGGUUUUCUUAAGCUGUUGUCGUAAAGAAUGGUUUAUCGACCCUUCCUGCUGACGCUUUAAUAAGUGCUUUGCAUAACAAGUGUUUUACUGCAAGAUAAAUCACAUGGGCUGGCGGCGGGCUGUCAAAUACACAAGUGCACACAUGUGUAGACAUAAAGCAAGGCAGUGCUCAAAAGUGGGCACCGGUAUUUACUGAUUAAACUCUGUUAAAUCUAUAAAAAAGGCAGUGAGAUUUAAAGCUCCUGUAAGGGAUUUUAGUUGAAACAGAGAAACGUGGAUAAAAGUUGUCCUCAUUUAAAUUCAUAGCCAGCAGGACCGAGGGAGGCAUUUUCGCCAUCAUAUUGCAUAAGUCAGGUGCAAAUAUGACUGGACCCCAAAAAAUUCUAACAAAGGUUUCUCACCUGUUUUUCAUUGUAUUAGAUGUCCUUAAUAACAUACUAAAAGUUCACCAAAGUUCGACUGCUAGAAAGGUGUCACUUUCACGAUUGCGUCCAUGAACUUAUUCCACGUCACUGUGGAGUCCGUCUGAGUAUGUUAUUGAGGACAUCUUAUACAAUAAAAAAAAACAGUUGAGAAACCUUUUAUUAGAACUUUUUUGGGGUUAGAUGUUUUUUUUUUCAUAAAUGCACCCGCCUACAUCACCUCUUCUUCAAACGGUGCUCUAUAAAUGUCCGGGAACCAACUAGACCAGUUUCUGGAGUUUCAAAAGUGAAAUGUUGUCCCACUCUUACCUGAAGUAGGAUUUCAGUCGCCCAAUAGUCAUUGUUGUUGUAUGUUUUUGUGCACUUAUACAUCCCAUCAUCCAUCACGGAGGCCGGGUUUUGGACUGUGCGGGCCCUGUACCGAUUUCAAAGGGAGGACGCUCACAGAUGAUGGUUUUUGGGAGUGAUUGUAAGGCCAUGCGGCACUUUCCACUACAGAGUCACGUCUUUUUCAAUGCAGUGUUGCCUGGAGGCUGAAGAUCUGAGGGAAAAAUGUCUGAUUGAUUGUUAUGGACGGAGCUAGGGGACCUUAAUUAAGGCAGGAGCACCAGUGACCCAAACAACAAGAAUAACAACAGGGCAAAAAAAGAGCAACAGGCCUUAUUUAUUAGUUGAAAAAAUGAGAUGACUGAAGAUGAGCUCUCGCCGAGGUGCAUAUUGAUCCGUCGAGAAGAAUGUUAGGCAUAUAUAAUAAAAACACAUCAACUUUCAUCCCUUUAAAUGAUGACCUGCCUGUUGUGAGCAUGCUAGCCAACAGCAGCAGAUCUGUUAGGAACAGGAGGAAUUCAAUCAGGGAGAUCCAUGGACCCGAGCGGAGGCCCCUGAGUGAGAUCGAUGGCCUGAGAGGCAGGUUGCGAAGGGGUCAGCUCCCCUGGUGCGGCGUUUUAUCUCCGUCCUGUUGCCACUCCUGUUUAGGAACGUUGUUGCCGGGGAGGGUGGGGGGGGACUGGAAGCAGUGUUGCAUCCUGGUCCCAGAGGCAGCCCAGGCCUACCACAAUAAUAUCAUUUUAUGUCAGCCAUGAGUGAAAGUUUCCCCAACUUGGGGCGGGCUGAUUGAUGGCUGUUGUAAAUCAGGGCUGAGAGUGCUGCAUGGGGUUUUAUAGUGCGGGGAAAUGAUGCAGGUUGUAUACAACUCUCCUUAACACCUCCACGCUUUAAACCCAGUGACUGUCCAAGAAAUGUGCGCUUUUUAGAGUACUACACCCACCCGAACUGCAGGAAAGAAUUUGCAAUGGUAAACAUUCAAACACUACAAAAUAUCCCUUUGUACAAUAUUAACAUAAUUCGAGUCAUUAUGUCCCAGACUGAAUUACCAACAUGGCAAAUCACACUGCUGCUCUAGGGACCAGAAAGCUCCGGGCACUCUUCAUGUGAAUUAGUUUCUGUAAUAUGAUUGAUUGCUUAUUUGUUAGAGAGUUUGCAGCACUGGAGUACAACUAAUAGAGGCUUGGCACCGGGAGAUCAUUUCGCAGCAGUCUUGUCCAGAGGCCCUGUGUCAGAAUCCAGUUUAAAGGAGCUCCUCUGUUGUAAUUUUUUGUUCAUUUUUUUCGUGUUAGAGGUUUUGUUUUAUCACGCUACCAAAGUAAAGUACAAAUGAACCAGGAGUAAUGAUUGCUCCAGGAAAAAUGGACGUAAUGAAGUAACUAGGAGCUUACGGUUUGCACAGAGGUUGGUAAAUUGGGGUCAGUUUUGGGGGUAAACCUGUACUUUUUUCACUGGGGUAGUCCAAUUACCAUUAAAAUACUUAAUUUAUGCUUCGUGUCUAUAAUUGCUUUUACAGGAAAACAGAGUGGUAGCAUAUGAACCUUAAAAAGUAUCAAAAAUUUGCUCAAUUAGUCAGUUUAAUUGGACCAAUAUCCUCGAGCCCCAGAUGACCUGGUCACACGCCUCCUUUACAGCUUGUUACUGGCCUUUAACCAAAGCAAUCAGGUGUUAAUCUGACUUUGACAUCUUUGACCUAAUGGGAUUUCAUGUAGACUGGCAUGUUGUGUAUAUUCAAGUCUAGUUUCCAUUGGACUGGCACAAUAUAUCCAUAUUUUUUGACAGUUUGUCUCCGUUUGGUAGUUUGCUUGUGUUUUUUGAUGGACUAAUUCAUAACAAGUCUCAGAAACUUCAGAGAACAAAAGUCUUUUAAAUAAAUGAGCAAAAUAGCCAGGAACAAUGUAAGAUUUUUGGGGUGGCCAAUUAGAAGGAGGGCAAUGCCACCCCUGGCCUUCACUCUGGACACACCCCUGGUCAGUUUGGGCCUGAUAGUUUAUUUUACUCUGAGAAAUCUGCCCCUGGAAAAGUUAUCAUCACAGAGCAGUUACCUGAAAAUAUCUCUACGCCCUUUAUUCGGUAUAUGUGCAGAAAGAUGGAGGAAAUCAAUCAUUUUGGUCGAGCAGUGUGUCUAAUGUACAUGAUGAAGACUCAGCGAAUCUGCUCUCUAGCCAAGAAAUGAGGGGAUCUCCAGAGUCUGAAUUGAUUUUUGAAGUUGGCGCCGAAUGAGUAUAUUCCAACAGAAUGAAUUUAUUGCCAUCUUGAACCAAGACAUCUGGUCUCACCAAUUUAUAACCUUGGACCCAGAUUGAGUUCAGGCAAGACUGAACAAAUAUUAGUGCCAAAAUAGAGAGGGAUGCCAAGGCCUGGAUGGUGGAUCAGCACUUUGGACUUGCGUACAGCGCCUUAAAUUAAUUUUUCAACAAACUCCCAGCGUAAACUUUCACACUCCAAAUCCUUCUUUCCCCAAAGUGUUUCUGUUGCGAUCUAAUUCAGAUAUUAAACAACUUUCUGUAUUCUUGUUUUCCAUGCUUUUGAGUUGUUUCCUGCAGCGUCGUGACCACAGACAAGAACACUUAAGACGGUAAAUUCUGCAUCAAAGCAGUCUAUCUCAGCUCUUUAUUAUCCCUCCUCCUGCUUUCCAUUUCUAUUUAUCAUAUGUAUUUCCUCUGUGCACCAUAGGCUUUUUCAUCUGACCUUGUGUUGAGCCACAAAGAGCUUUCGGCUUCUUGCGCUGACAUUAAAAAAAGAGCCUGAAAUUUUUGUCCAAGUUUUGACGAACUGACUGACGUAAGAAGAAGACACAUUCAGGUCUGAGUGUCCUCCAAAAACUAGGGCAUAUAAUCUGAAAACAGGAACAUCGCCUUGAGAAGAAGAAGAAGCGCGACUUUCAUGGAUCAAUUCCCUGAAGUGAGAUCGACAGCAGGAUCAUGAUUCACAGUGCCGGUCUUGCUUUUCAACAACACAACACCAUACAUGUACCAUCAUGUACCCCUGUAACAACACAAUACCUUUCAGAGCGUAUUUGCACUCGAGUUAAAGGUUUGGAGGAAAUAUUGCUUGUUAGAGUUCAUCCUGAAAGCAAAAGCGGAGCAGCACUGCGUCAUACAUACAGGGUAAAUGGAAAACUGAGCUCAAUAUAUGCUUGACGGGGUCACACAAGAGAGUACUUAUGAGAAAUGUGCGUCUGGUUUUCGAGUAGAGCUGCAGCAGCCAUCUAUUAUGGAGUUUCUAUAGAUAUUAUUGAAGGUUGAGUCAUGGAUGUAAACGGUACAAUGAGAGAACAUAUGGAAACUUUUCAUCAUACGUUUGACCAUCGGAUAGGAACUAAAGCUUGAACUUCGCCAAAAGUUCAGAAAAAAUGACCUUACAAAGAGCAACAUUAGUCACAGCAAGAGCCCUAGCAAGAGUGAGGUACUGAGUUUGUUCAAUUUGGAAUUUAGUUAUUAUUAAAAGUCAUUUUCGAUAUUCUAUUGUGUCUGUAAGCAACUUGAACGUAAACAGCAGUUAUUUCCCUUAACAACUUGGAAAAGUCGACGAAGCUGACAGAACACUUUUUCAUUUGUAAUUUAUGUAAGAUGUGGUGAUUUUUGACAAUUUUUACUUUUUUAUCGCCUAAAACGUGGGCGCCAUUAAUCUUAAUGGUCCUAACCCUGACUAAUCUACCAGUAUAUAAUGUAUAAAAGGGUUUUUUUGUAAUUGUAAUGCUGUAGUUUACCCAGAAGAUGGCGCCAAACUAGCCAAAGCUUCAUCACACACGUCCACCAUCAUGACUGCGACGAUCACCCCACAAACUUUGUAAAGCGCUGUUAAAACUGAUAAUGAGUUGAGCUCAAGUUUAUGCUAACUUCUGGGCAGCUGGCAGGAUUGGCAGCUUAAAGGUGGGGUAGGCAGGAUCUGAGGAAGUUCCAGUUUUUGGGAGAAAUCUUGAACAUAAACACUACCCCUUCAACAGACGACCAGCAAACACAAUGUUUGCAGGACUUCUACAACGAGGAUAAAGUGACAUAGUCCAGGACCCGAGGGAGACAGUUACGCGGCGCUACAACACGCAGCAGGUCCAGUUUGACAAGAAACACUUCUGUUACAGACACUUGUCUUACUUUGUUAAAGCGGUUUACCUGUCCAGCAGAAAGGUUACAGGGUCCGUAAGAUCCCAAAGCAUCUCCCAUCAUUGUUGACCCGGCUUUUUUAGCUCUUGUCCAGGUGGCCUCCCUCCUUUUUAAGCGCCCGUUAUUCCGCCAGAGUCUCCGGUAUUUCUCUUCCUUUUCCUUUUACUUCCUUUUCUUGCUUGUGUCGGCAGUCGUGGCCAAAGGAGGAUUCAGACAAUUUUCCGAACUUUCUGGUUGGUUUCUACUCUCCGAUAUUGUAGCACGCUAACUUUGUUUGGACUCCUGAACGACACGGGGAGCAGCAUCCGCCUCACAACCAAUCAGGUUGGGGAGGCGGAGAAUGGCUUUGUUUACAGUCAGAAAAAGCGCUCAAAAAAUUUAAAAUGUUGAUUACACAGAGAUAACAAAACACAGCGAUAUCGUUAUAUUACCAAAUGUCAUCAAUAACUAAUAGCUAUUGACUGAUAUUAAAAUCUUUUUUGUAUAUACACCACAAAAAAAGAUGCUUCUUUAACGGAUUCCUGCCUACCCCACCUUUAAGAAGGUACUAGAUAGAGCUUCUUGCAUGAUGAGGACUAAGCCAGUUCUUUCUUUUCCUUGACCAACAAGCCGUAUCUCAUAUUAACACUCAUGAAUACUCCAGAUUUGAUAGGACUUAAAUUAAUUAUUCGUAGUAUUUUCCACUAUGUUUAAAGAGUGGACAUGUGUCCUAUCUGUUGCUGUUUCAAUAAAGCGAGCAACUCCUUGUACAUAAGGCUAAUUAGCAGCAACAUGAUUUUGCUUUGUUACCUCACACAGAUUACUCCUGUCAUUGUUUGGUGGUGGGCGUUUGCUGAGUGUAAAAAUACAUAUUUCAUAAUGAAAGUGAUAACAGAGUCGUAUUCCUCUCAUCUCUGGCUUUAAAACAAGUGAUCAAAAGUUCUUGUUUUUAUUCAAAGUGCUUCUUGCUCUUUUUUUUUCUCCUUUUGAAGACACGACUGCCUGCCUAAAGUGACUGGUAAGUCUGCUAAAAACACACAAACACACACACACACACACACUCGGUCUUUUAUUUCCAGAGCUAUUUUUGCAUCUUUAUUUUUCGUCUUGUACUUCUUGUCA
RNAcentral lists this long non-coding RNA (18510 nucleotides) under Xyrichtys novacula (pearly razorfish). The record is from RNAcentral. Lineage: Eukaryota; Metazoa; Chordata; Actinopteri; Labriformes; Labridae.